GGCUACAGCCAUAUCACCCUGCAGCCCAAGACUGGUCACCCGCUGAAGCUAAGCAGGGUAGAGCUGGUCAGUACCUGGAUGGGAGACCUCCUGGGAAAACUAGAUUGCUGCUGGAA
RNAcentral lists this ribosomal RNA (116 nucleotides) under Sinocyclocheilus anshuiensis. Lineage: Eukaryota; Metazoa; Chordata; Actinopteri; Cypriniformes; Cyprinidae. The record is from RNAcentral.